CCUACGGGUGGCAGCAGUGGGGAAUAUUGCACAAUGGGGGAAACCCUGAUGGAGCGACGCCGCGUGAGUGAAGAAGGAUUUCGGUACGUAAAGCUCUAUCAGCAGGGAAGAAAAUGCCGGUACCUGACUGAGCAGCCUCCGCUAACUACGUGCCAGCAGCCGCGGGAAUACGUAGGGGGCAAGCGUGAUCCGGAUUUACUGGGGGUAAAGGGAUCGUAGACGGUCGCGCAAGUCUGGAGUGAAAUCCCAUGGCUUAACCAUGGAACUGCCUUGGAAACUGUGCAGCUAGAGUGCAGGAGAGGUAAGCGGAAUGCCUAGUGUAGCGGUGAAAUGCGUAGAUAUUAGGAGGAACACCAGUGGCGAAGGCGGCUUACUGGACUGUAACUGACGUUGAGGCUCGAAAGCGUGGGGAGCAAACAGGAUUAGAUACCCGGGUAGUC
This 440-nucleotide ribosomal RNA is filed under the name uncultured bacterium. Its description in RNAcentral is "partial 16S ribosomal RNA". It matches the Rfam family "Bacterial small subunit ribosomal RNA", at positions 338 to 795 of the family's 1533-position model. The record is from RNAcentral.